This 157-nucleotide small nuclear RNA is filed under the name Physeter macrocephalus (sperm whale). Its description in RNAcentral is "Physeter catodon (sperm whale) U2 spliceosomal RNA (ENSPCTG00005010664.1)". It matches the Rfam family "U2 spliceosomal RNA". From Rfam's summary of the family: U2 is a small nuclear RNA (snRNA) component of the spliceosome (involved in pre-mRNA splicing). Complementary binding between U2 snRNA (in an area lying towards the 5' end but 3' to hairpin I) and the branchpoint sequence (BPS) of the intron results the bulging out of an unpaired adenosine, on the BPS, which initiates a nucleophilic attack at the intronic 5' splice site, thus starting the first of two transesterification reactions that mediate splicing. The record is from Rfam by way of RNAcentral. Lineage: Eukaryota; Metazoa; Chordata; Mammalia; Artiodactyla; Physeteridae.
AUCGCUUCUUGGCCUUUUGGCUAAGAUCAAGUGUAGUAUCUGUUCUUAUCAGUUUAUAGGACAUUCCAUACAAAAACAGCAGAAUACACUUUCUUAUCAAGUGCACGUGGAACCUUCUCCAGGAGAAGGUUCAACUAGGGUCACAAAUCAAACCUCA